This 367-nucleotide long non-coding RNA is filed under the name Gossypium barbadense (sea-island cotton). RNAcentral describes it as "long non-coding RNA (GBAR_LNC018737)". Lineage: Eukaryota; Viridiplantae; Streptophyta; Magnoliopsida; Malvales; Malvaceae. The record is from RNAcentral.
UGUGAUUCUAUCUUCUACUCAAGCAAUUAACAUUUGGUUUCAACUCCAAAAGGAUACUGCUAAAGUUCAUUUAAUGAUUGCCUCUUCCAAAGAAUCUCUUAGAGGCAUAUUAACUUUAAGGCUUUGCUUGGUAAGGUGAAAAGAAAAUUGGAAAAAUGGAAAACUAAAGGGGGAGAAAAAUAGAAAGAUAGAAAAAAAAAUACUUUUUAUUUUCAUUGGCAUGCUUAGAGGCAUAUUAACUUUAAGGCUUUGCUUGGUAAGGUGAAAAGAAAAUCGGAAAAACGGAAAAUUAAAGGGGAGAAAAAUAGAAAGAUAGAAAAAAAAUACUUUUUUUUUUAUUGGCAUGCUUAGUAGGAAAGAUAGAAAA